GAUGAAUGCUGGCGGCGUGCCUAACACAUGCAAGUCGAGCGGCAGCGAGUUUUACACUGAAUUCUGGAAGCUUCUGAGUAGUACAGAAGAUUUAUUCAAGAGUUUUGUGUAAAAUGUCGGCGAGCGGCGGACGGCUGAGUAACGCGUAGGAAUUUGCCCCAAAGUGAGGAAUAACUGUCCGAAAGGGUAGCUAAUGCCGCAUAUGGUCUUCGGAUUAAAGCCUUCGGGCGCUUUGGGAGAAGCCUGCGUUGGAUUAGGUAGUUGGUAGGGUAAUGGCCUACCAAGCCGACGAUCCAUAGCUGGUCUGAGAGGAUGAUCAGCCAGACUGGAACUGAGACACGGUCCAGACUCCUACGGGAGGCAGCAGUGAGGAAUCUUCCACAAUGGGCGAAAGCCUGAUGGAGCAACGCCGCGUGAAGGAUGAAGGCCUUCGGGUUGUAAACUUCUUUUAUGAGUGAAGAAUAUGACGGUAACUCAUGAAUAAGCACCGGCUAACUACGUG
This 502-nucleotide ribosomal RNA is filed under the name uncultured bacterium. Its description in RNAcentral is "partial 16S ribosomal RNA". It matches the Rfam family "Bacterial small subunit ribosomal RNA", at positions 28 to 507 of the family's 1533-position model. The record is from RNAcentral.